CCUACGGGCGGCAGCAGUGGGGAAUAUUGGACAAUGGGCGAAAGCCUGAUCCAGCCAUGCCGCGUGUGUGAAGAAGGCCUUCGGGUUGUAAAGCACUUUCAGUGGGGAAGAAAGCCUUGGGGCUAAUACCCUCGAGGAAGGACAUCACCCACAGAAGAAGCACCGGCUAACUCCGUGCCAGCAGCCGCGGUAAUACGGAGGGUGCAGCGUUAAUCGGAAUUACUGGGCGUAAAGCGCGCGUAGGCGGUCUGAUAAGCCGGUUGUGAAAGCCCCGGGCUCAACCUGGGAACGGCAUCCGGAACUGUCAGGCUAGAGUGCAGGAGAGGAAGGUAGAAUUCCCGGUGUAGCGGUGAAAUGCGUAGAGAUCGGGAGGAAUACCAGUGGCGAAGGCGGCCUUCUGGACUGACACUGACGCUGAGGUGCGAAAGCGUGGGUAGCAAACAGGAUUAGAUACCCUAGUAGUC
Molecule: ribosomal RNA, 464 nt
Filed under: Vreelandella stevensii
Lineage: Bacteria; Pseudomonadati; Pseudomonadota; Gammaproteobacteria; Oceanospirillales; Halomonadaceae
Description: partial 16S ribosomal RNA
Rfam family: Bacterial small subunit ribosomal RNA
Source: RNAcentral